RNAcentral lists this long non-coding RNA (969 nucleotides) under Betta splendens (Siamese fighting fish). Its description in RNAcentral is "lncRNA (ENSBSLG00000022281.1)". The stretch from base 651 to 722 matches the Rfam family "mir-133 microRNA precursor family". Lineage: Eukaryota; Metazoa; Chordata; Actinopteri; Anabantiformes; Osphronemidae. The record is from RNAcentral.
CUCAGACACCCCCAGGAGCGGCAGGAGGUUAUUUUUUGCCUCGCUUCACUAAAUAAGGCCGUGGAGCACGACGGCGCGGGCCGGCGGCUGCAGGGGCGUGCGUCUCAGGUAUAAAAGCCGGGGGAUGGAGGGGGUUUCCUCCGAUCGUGCUCAACCUCUCACAUUUCUCCUCCCUGUUGUCGUUCUGACCUGCUUUUACCUACUUUUGAUGCGUGAGUUGAAAAAAAAAAAACAAACGACAACAAACCAAAAAUCAAUGAGCCAACGCUGCCUGUGAGCGGCAUCAGUUGACCUUUUAUCCCAGAAUCUUUUUUUUUUAAAAACCUCCUGCUUUUGGCGCUCACACUUUCUUUCGUGCCUUUAUUUUGGAGGAGUUGUUUUUCGCCGCCUGCUGGACGACAUGUCAGGGAAAAUGGAAUAUGGGGACAAAAGGACGACAAAGAUCGUCCUCCUCCUCUUUUCCUCUCCGCAUCCUUAAACUCUCCAUCGCUGAUUCAGCUCCCAGGGAGGAGAGACUCCGCCUGCAGCGGCGGCUCCACUCUGCAUGGGCCACCAUCCCUAUCUGGAUCACCUUUACCACGGUUCCCAAGGUUCGUCUCUCUCACGUCUUCCGCCCCGACGCCUUCGGGACCGGCUCCCCUUCAAAUGCUUUGCUAAAGCUGGUAAAAUGGAACCAAAUCAACUGUUCAAUGGAUUUGGUCCCCUUCAACCAGCUGUAGCUGUGCAUUGAUCACCCCGAAAACGCACGCGCUGGGGGGCGAACGAAUGAGCCACGGAGUGGAGAGACUCCUUCAACACUAGAGGCUGAAGCUGUUUUAGUUCUCGGACUGGACGCGAAAACUGAUCCAUGGAUAAAUGUGCACCGUGCACCAGUCAUUCUGUUUAGCUUUAUCACACUUUACCCAAAAGACUUUGAAUCAUUUGCUGAAUCUGAAUAAAACAACUCAGGUAAGUAAUUAUAGAUACUGU